CGGGGGAGCCCAGCGUGGUUCGGAUUUACUGGGCGUAAAGGGCGCGUAGGCGGCCACCGCAAGUCGACUGUGAAAUCUCCGGGCUUAACCCGGAAAGGUCAGCCGAUACUGCGGGGCUAGAGUGCAGAAGGGGCAACUGGAAUUCUCGGUGUAGCGGUGAAAUGCGUAGAUAUCGAGAGGAACACCUGCGGCGAAGGCGGGUUGCUGGGCUGACACUGACGCUGAUGCGCGAAAGCUAGGGGAGCGAACGGGAUUAGAUACCCCGGUAGUCCUAGCCUUAAACGAUGAAUGCUUGGUGUCUGGGGUUUUAUAGUCCCCGGGUGCCGUCGCUAACGCUUUAAGCAUUCCGCCUGGGGAGUACGGUCGCAAGACUG
This 374-nucleotide ribosomal RNA is filed under the name uncultured organism. RNAcentral's name for it is "bacterial SSU rRNA". It matches the Rfam family "Bacterial small subunit ribosomal RNA", at positions 526 to 896 of the family's 1533-position model. The record is from RNAcentral.